This 443-nucleotide ribosomal RNA is filed under the name Staphylococcus pasteuri. RNAcentral describes it as "bacterial SSU rRNA". It matches the Rfam family "Bacterial small subunit ribosomal RNA", at positions 35 to 466 of the family's 1533-position model. Lineage: Bacteria; Bacillati; Bacillota; Bacilli; Caryophanales; Staphylococcaceae. The record is from RNAcentral.
GCUGGCGGCGUGCCUAAUACAUGCAAGUCGAGCGAACAGAUAAGGAGCUUGCUNCUUUGACGUUAGCGGCGGACGGGUGAGUAACACGUGGAUAACCUACCUAUAAGACUGGGAUAACUUCGGGAAACCGGAGCUAAUACCGGAUAAGAUUUUGAACCGCAUGGUUCAAUAGUGAAAGACGGCCUUGCUGUCACUUAUAGAUGGAUCCGCGCCGUAUUAGCUAGUUGGUAAGGUAACGGCUUACCAAGGCAACGAUACGUAGCCGACCUGAGAGGGUGAUCGGCCACACUGGAACUGAGACACGGUCCAGACUCCUACGGGAGGCAGCAGUAGGGAAUCUUCCGCAAUGGGCGAAAGCCUGACGGAGCAACGCCGCGUGAGUGAUGAAGGUCUUCGGAUCGUAAAACUCUGUUAUCAGGGAAGAACAAACGUGUAAGUAACUG